This 3190-nucleotide ribosomal RNA is filed under the name Candidatus Wolfebacteria bacterium. RNAcentral's name for it is "23S ribosomal RNA". It matches the Rfam family "Bacterial large subunit ribosomal RNA". The record is from RNAcentral. Lineage: Bacteria; Candidatus Wolfeibacteriota.
GAAAUUAAGGGCGUGUGGUGGAUGCCUUGACUAGAAGGGGCGAUGAAGGACGUGGCGUAGCUGCGAUAAGCCUCGGGAAGGUGCGUAGCAACCUUUGAUCCGGGGAUUUCCGAAUGGGGGAACCCAAUCGCGUAAACCGCGAUUACCCAUGUUCAAAAGAACAAGGGAGUAUACCCGCUGAAGUGAAACAUCUCAGUAAGCGGAGGAAAAGAAAACAAGUCCUGCUAAAACAGGACACCAUUUCCUUAGUAGCGGCGAGCGAACAGGAAAGAGCCUAAAUCCAAUUUGCAAAAAUUGGAGGUUGUAAGGCAAAUACGUUUCUCUUUCUAAUUUUUUUUAAGUUUGACUCGAGUAUUUAAAAAAUAGGAAGAGAAAGAGAGUUACAAAAUUUUUGGUUAGCCAAAUAGGCUGGAAAGCCUAACCAAAGAAGGUGAGAGUCCUGUAGGCGAAAACCAAAAAUCUCUCUAGUAUUUGUCCUUGAGUACUUCGAGAAAAGAUAACCUCGGAGGAAUCUGCCAGAACUAAACUGGCAAGGCUAAAUAUCCUUCUAGAUCGAUAGUGGACAAGUACCGUGAGGGAAAGGUGAAAAGUAGGCCGGUGAGGCCGAUGAAAUAGAACCUGAAACCAUACGCUUACAAGGACUCGGAGUCUUGGCAUUAUGUCAGGAUGACGGGGUGCCUAUUGAAGAAUGAGCCAACGAGUGUAUAAGUGUUGCUUUGGUUAAUCCUGCUUAGCGGGAAAAGCCUUAGAGAAAUCGAGUUUUAAAAGAGCUUUUACUACUUCUUCGCAAUUUUUAUUACGAAGUGGUAGUAAGGUAGCACUUAUACGACCCGAAGCCAAGCGAGCUUACCAUGACCAGGGUGAACCUUGUCGAAAGAUAGGAGGAGGCCCGAACCGGUUGGUUGUGCAAAACCUUCGGAUGAGUUGUGGUAAGAAGUGAAAAGCUAAUCGAGCUUGGUAAUAGCUGGUUCUCUCCGAAAUAGCUUUAGGGCUAGCGGUCAUUCAUUCAACUUGUGGGGGUAGAGCUACUGGUUUAAUCGUAAAGGGCGAAAGCUCGGCGAUUAAGUCAAACUCCGAAUACCAUAAGCGAGAAUGACCAGUAAGACUACGGGGGCUAAGCUUCGUGGUCAAAAGGGCAUGAACCCUGAUCGCCGUCUAAGGUCUCUAAAUUUUGGUUAAGUGUCAAAGGAAGUGAUCAGCCGAAGACAGAUAGGAUGUUGGCUUAGAGGUAGCCAUCAUUUAAAGAGUGUGUAACAACUCACUAUCAUAUUUUGACUUCGGUCAGAAUUGGCUGAUCGCGCCGAAAAUGUAGCGAGGCUUAAACCAGAUACCGAAGACGCGACUCAUCAAAUUUUUUAUAUUUGAUGGGGGUAGGAGAGCAUUUCUUUUGCAGUGAAGUCGUACUCGCGAGAGGCGAUGGAGCAAAAGGAAGAGAGAAUGUUGGCAUGAGUAACCGCAUGUCCGAUGAGAAAUCGGACCGCCGAAAAUUCAAGGUUUCCGUGGCAAUGGCAAUCAUCCACGGGUUAGGCGAGCCUAAGGCAAUGGUGAAAACCGUAGCUGAUGGAUAGCUGGUUAAUAUUCCAGCCCUUCCUAUAGAUUUCUGAUGGAGUGACGAAGGACAUAAGUCCGAGCGCCUUAUUGGUUUGGCGUCCUUGAUUUUAAGAAGUGUUUGCUAGGUAAAUCCGGCAAACUGUCUUUAAUGAUAAACUUCGCAAAUCGAGGAAAUCCUGCUUCGGCGGGAAAUUCGGGUGAAGAGCCUUCCGAGAAAAACUUCUAAUGUUAGUUUAUAGGAACUCGUACCGGAAACCGACACAGGUGGAUUGGUGUAAGAGCACUAAGGCGAACGGGUGAAUCCUCGUUAAGGAACUCGGCAAAAAAGCGGCCGUAAGUUCGCGAUAAGGCCUUCCAGCUCUUUUGGACAAUGAUCGCGUUUUAUUAAUUAGUUGAUAAUUUCACAUAUAUCAACCAAAGUUAUAGAACGUUGUUAUUGUCCAAAAGAGCUGGACGCAGCGAAAGAACCUCUAGCGACUGUUUAAUAAAAACACAGGUCCCUGCUAACUCGUAAGAGGAUGUAUAGGGGCUGACGCCUGACCGAUGCGAGAAGGUCAACGUUGCCGGUUAUCGUUUGUUUUUAACAGGCGGUAGCUGAGUGACCGAAGCCCUCGUCAAUGUCGGCGAUAACUAUAAUCGUCCAAAGGUAGCGCAAUUCCUUGUCGGGUAAGUUCCGACGCGCAUGAAUGGCGUAACGACUAGAGGACUGUCUCAACGAGGAGCCCGGUGAAAAUGCGAUUCCAGCGAAGACGCUGGGUACCCGCGGCAAGACGAAAAGACCCCGGGAGCUUUACUGUAGCUUGAUAUUGGGUUUAAGCCGCUACUGCGUAGCAUAGGUGGGAGACUAUGAAGUCCUGAUUCCGGUUGGGAUGGAGUCGCCAGUGAAAUACCACUCUGUAGCAGUUUAAAUUCUAACUUCAGCGGCAAAAACGUUGGAGGACAGUGUCUGGCGGGCAGUUUUUCUGGGGCGGAAUCCUCCAAAAGAGUAACGGAGGAGUUUACUAAGGUCGGCUAGGUGCGGAUGGAAAUCGCACUGGUUGUGUAAAGGCAUAAGCCGGCUUAACUGUGAGGCUGACAAGCCGAACUCGAGUUUUAUAAACUCGACGGUCCGCAUUUUUUUAAUUUGCGGAUUGAGAUGCGAAAGCAGAACUUAGUGACCCGACGGUUCUUUUUAGAAAGACCGAAGACAUCGGACAAAAGCUACCCCGGGGAUAACAGGCUAGUCAGACCCGAGAGUCCCUAUCGACGGUCUGGUUCGGCACCUCGAUGUCGGCUCAUCCUAGCGCGGGGCUGGAGAAGGUCCCAAGCGUUUGGCUGUUCGCCAAUUAAAAGGAUACGUGAGCUGGGUUUAAACCGUCGUGAGACAGGUUAGUCUCUACCUGCCGUGGGCGUUUGACACUUGAGGGAAGUUGACCCUAGUACGAGAGGACCGGGUUGAACGAACCUCUGGUGUACCGGCUUUUCCACCAGGAGAAAUGCCGGGUAGCUAUGUUCGGUUGGGAUAAGCGCUGAAAGCAUCUAAGCACGAAGCCCAUCCCAAGAUUAGGUGUCAUCACCUCCUAGGAGACGACUAGGUUGAUAGGCUCCAGGUGUAAGAUCUGUAAAGAUUUUAGCCGAGGAGUACUAAUUAGGUGGUUUU